Molecule: transfer RNA, 75 nt
Filed under: Candidatus Daviesbacteria bacterium GWA1_38_6
Lineage: Bacteria; Candidatus Daviesiibacteriota
Also listed under: 3 other names
Description: tRNA-Pro
Rfam family: tRNA
About the family: Transfer RNA (tRNA) molecules are approximately 80 nucleotides in length. Their secondary structure includes four short double-helical elements and three loops (D, anti-codon, and T loops).
Source: RNAcentral
CGGGGUGUAGGUCAUCGGUAGACCGCUCGAUUCGGGUUCGAGAGGCAGAGAGUUCAAUUCUCUCCACCCCGACUA